UUGUAGUGUGACAUGCCGUUUAAUGUGGAACUCUGAUUUUAUAAUUUAUAAUUUAUAAUUAAAUUGAUUUUGGGAAACGGGGUGUUACACUUUG
RNAcentral lists this microRNA precursor (94 nucleotides) under Medicago truncatula (barrel medic). RNAcentral's name for it is "MIR2617 microRNA precursor family". It matches the Rfam family "MIR2617 microRNA precursor family". The record is from Rfam by way of RNAcentral. Lineage: Eukaryota; Viridiplantae; Streptophyta; Magnoliopsida; Fabales; Fabaceae.